UCUUUAACUACCAUGCCCCCAACUCUUUAUGAGUUGGCACUUAUCCUUUGUGUCUCUGUGCAUGUACCACCUUUUCCAGAAAUUGUCAUGGAAGCCUUUUUUUCACUCUGAUAUGAUCAAGCAGAAUACAGACAUUAUGAAGACAGGCUUUUGGUCUGUUUUAUACUAGCCUGGAACAAAGGAAGAGCUCAAUACAUAUUUGUUGAGUAAAUGAAUGGAUGAGUAAAUGUAACAGAAAAGAAGCCUUCAGAAAAUAAAAAUGCCUGACAGAACUCAGUGAUGCUUGUUGAAGAAAUGAGUUUAGUGAAAGUCCUUUUGAAAGUAUGCUUUGUGGAGAGCUCCCUAUGAGAGGUUUCAAUGAUUCUUAAAUAAUUACUAUUUUUAAAAACUG
RNAcentral lists this long non-coding RNA (391 nucleotides) under Homo sapiens (human). Its description in RNAcentral is "HSALNT0321226". The record is from RNAcentral. Lineage: Eukaryota; Metazoa; Chordata; Mammalia; Primates; Hominidae.